ACCUGGGUGGCUCAGUCGGUUGAGCUUCUGACUUCAACUCAGGUCAUGAACUCACUCUUCAUGGGUUCAAGCCCCACCUCGGGUU
Molecule: transfer RNA, 85 nt
Filed under: Felis catus (domestic cat)
Lineage: Eukaryota; Metazoa; Chordata; Mammalia; Carnivora; Felidae
Also listed under: 1 other name
Rfam family: tRNA
About the family: Transfer RNA (tRNA) molecules are approximately 80 nucleotides in length. Their secondary structure includes four short double-helical elements and three loops (D, anti-codon, and T loops).
Source: Rfam by way of RNAcentral